This 469-nucleotide ribosomal RNA is filed under the name uncultured organism. RNAcentral describes it as "partial 16S ribosomal RNA". It matches the Rfam family "Bacterial small subunit ribosomal RNA", at positions 335 to 796 of the family's 1533-position model. The record is from RNAcentral.
ACUCCUGCGGGAGGCAGCAGUGGGGAAUUUUGGACAAUGGGCGAAAGCCUGAUCCAGCCAUGCCGCGUGCAGGAUGAAGGCCUUCGGGUUGUAAACUGCUUUUGUACGGAACGAAACGGCCUUUUCUAAUAAAGAGGGCUAAUGACGGUACCGUAAGAAUAAGCACCGGCUAACUACGUGCCAGCAGCCGCGGUAAUACGUAGGGUGCAAGCGUUAAUCGGAAUUACUGGGCGUAAAGCGUGCGCAGGCGGUUAUGUAAGACAGUUGUGAAAUCCCCGGGCUCAACCUGGGAACUGCAUCUGUGACUGCAUAGCUAGAGUACGGUAGAGGGGGAUGGAAUUCCGCGUGUAGCAGUGAAAUGCGUAGAUAUGCGGAGGAACACCGAUGGCGAAGGCAAUCCCCUGGACCUGUACUGACGCUCAUGCACGAAAGCGUGGGGAGCAAACAGGAUUAGAAACCCCGGUAGUCC